This 379-nucleotide unclassified non-coding RNA is filed under the name soil metagenome. Its description in RNAcentral is "partial contains 5.8S ribosomal RNA, internal transcribed spacer 2, and large subunit ribosomal RNA". The stretch from base 1 to 119 matches the Rfam family "5.8S ribosomal RNA", at positions 35 to 154 of the family's 154-position model. The record is from RNAcentral.
GAUGAAGAACGUAGCGAAAUGCGAUAAGUAAUGUGAAUUGCAGAAUUCAGUGAAUCAUCGAAUCUUUGAACGCACCUUGCACCCUUUGGCAUUCUGAAGGGUAUGCUCGUUGAGUGUCAUUGUACUCUCACACUCCCGAUCUUUGCAUUGGGAGCAGUGGACUUGGGUUUGCUGCUUCACCGUCGCUUACCUCAAAUAGGUUAGUGCAACUCUUGGUUGGACAUAGUACGGCGUGAUAAGUGUUCUUCGCCGGUGCCUCGCAAAGAGGGUGGCCGAUCGGGAUGUUGUGCUCCAAACCGUCUUCGGACAAUCUCUGACGACUUGACCUCAAAUCGAGUAAGACUACCCGCUGAACUUAAGCAUAUCAAUAAGCGGAGGA